ACGGGAGGCAGCAGUAGGGAAUCUUCGGCAAUGGGGGGAACCCUGACCGAGCAACGCCGCGUGAGUGAAGAAGGUUUUCGGAUCGUAAAGCUCUGUUGUAAGAGAAGAACGUGUGUGAGAGUGGAAAGUUCACACAGUGACGGUAACUUACCAGAAAGGGACGGCUAACUACGUGCCAGCAGCCGCGGUAAUACGUAGGUCCCGAGCGUUGUCCGGAUUUAUUGGGCGUAAAGCGAGCGCAGGCGGUUUGAUAAGUCUGAAGUAAAAGGCUGUGGCUUAACCAUAGUAUGCUUUGGAAACUGUCAAACUUGAGUGCAGAAGGGGAGAGUGGAAUUCCAUGUGUAGCGGUGAAAUGCGUAGAUAUAUGGAGGAACACCGGUGGCGAAAGCGGCUCUCUGGUCUGUAACUGACGCUGAGGCUCGAAAGCGUGGGGAGCAAACAGGAUUAGAUACCCUGGUA
This 459-nucleotide ribosomal RNA is filed under the name uncultured Streptococcus sp. Its description in RNAcentral is "bacterial SSU rRNA". It matches the Rfam family "Bacterial small subunit ribosomal RNA", at positions 341 to 792 of the family's 1533-position model. The record is from RNAcentral. Lineage: Bacteria; Bacillati; Bacillota; Bacilli; Lactobacillales; Streptococcaceae.